AAUGACGCUGCGGAGGCUAAGACUGCAAGUGAACGGUACGACACUAGCUUACUAGUGGGCGACGAGUGGCGGACGGGUGAGUAACGCGUAGGAAUCUACCUAGUAGUGGGGGAUAGCCAAGGGAAACUUUGGGUAAUACCGCAUACGAUCUAAGGAUGAAAGGGGGCCUCUCUUUGAAGCUCUCGCUAUUAGAUGAGCCUGCGUAAGAUUAGCUCUGUUGGUGAGGUAAUGGCUCACCAAGGCGACGAUCUUUAGCUGGUCUGAGAGGAUGAUCAGUCACACUGGAACUGAGACACGGUCCAGACUCCUACGGGAGGCAGCAGUCGGGAAUAUUGGACAAUGGGGGAAACCCUGAUCCAGCCAUGCCGCGUGUGUGAAGAAGGCCCUAGGGUUGUAAAGCACUUUUAGUAGUGAGGAAGGCUCAGCAGUUAAUACCUGCUGGGAUUGACGUUAGCUACAGAAAAAGCACCGGCUAAUUUCGUGCCAGCAGCCGCGGUAAUACGAAAGGUGCAAGCGUUAAUCGGAAUUACUGGGCGUAAAGCGCGCGUAGGCGGCUUGGUAAGUUGGAUGUGAAAGCCCCGGCGCUCAACCUGGGCAACUGCAUCCAAAACUGCCUAGCUAGAGUAUGGCACAGGAUGGCGGAAUCUCCUGCUGUAGCGGCUGAAAUGCGUA
Molecule: ribosomal RNA, 672 nt
Filed under: uncultured Gammaproteobacteria bacterium
Lineage: Bacteria; Pseudomonadati; Pseudomonadota; Gammaproteobacteria
Description: bacterial SSU rRNA
Rfam family: Bacterial small subunit ribosomal RNA
Source: RNAcentral